GAGCAAACAUGAUGGCCCCUUUAUGAGAGGUAAUUUACUGAAAUGCACAGCGAUUACCUGCUCACCCAGCCCUGAUGUAAUUAAAAAUGGCAGGCUAGGGGCUCUGUUUCCCCCGGCUCUGGCAGAGAAACCUGGGUUUCGACUUGUGAAGCUUGAGGUUGGAUGUGGGAAUUGGCUUGGAGUCAUAGGCGAUGAGAGGGACAUUAGGAUAUUAUGAAGCCCGUGAACUCAACUCCUGAGAAGGACGCAGCAGAGCGAGAGAAAAGAUCUUGGGUGGUGUUUAUCAACCCUGAGUAAUCGUUUCUUUGUCUGCAAGAUGGAAUAAAAAGGCCUACCUCAUUGGGCUCGUGUGGGUGAGGAGAACUGAAGAGUCUGAGAGCGCGGCACGAGCCAGAGGCUACGGAAAACACUGCCCUCCUACACUCCACCUUGGAGAGACCCAGAAAAGAACAAGCUUCAUUUGUAAAAAAGGAAAACAACUCAGGCAAUGGGGGUGGCUUAAAGGCACUCUACAGUGUGCAGAUGCCUUCCACUUCUUCCAUCUGCCCUGUCUCUCCAAGAACCCCUAUGGCCCCGGUCUCAGAACAGAGCUGAGUGCAGAAAUGAAAAUCUAUGGCUCUGUGUUCCAAAACGAUGAAGAAUUUCAAGAUGGUGGCAGUGGUAAAAUCUUUCUCCAGGAAAAAUCUGUCCUUGGCCCAAUGUGUAAACACUUGCUGAGGAACUUGGAAUAACUUGCAGUGUCUUGCAGUAUUGUGAAACCAGCAACUUGUUCACAAUUCUUCUGAAUUUCUUGGGAAAUUUGAAGUGGAGUACCUGUACCAACAUGAAAUGACACGAAUUUAAGUGACGCUCAACAACGAAAAGCAAAAAGAACCAAAGAGGAAGCAACUGAAACAACAUCUGGAUGUAUUUAAAAAUAUACAAUGCCUCCAAAAUCAGGUGUCAUUAAUGAAAAUUCUGAAGAAAUGCCACCGGACAUAGCCAACGCACCUACGCUGUUGUUAUUCAUUUCCUGCUUUUCACAGAAAACAAUUUUGUUGCAUGGAAGAUCGUGAACUUCAAAGGGCAGAGGGGAAACUGUCCCUUGGCCUCUACCCCUCCAAGGCCCCACUUUUUUGUCAACACUCCUUGGACGCAGCAGAAGUAUGAACAUAAUAUGGUCCUGAAUGAGGCUGAGUCUUUGGGCGCAGAAGACCCGGGUUAAUAAAAAUAGGAAGGUAAGAAAAGAAAAGAAAAA
This 1237-nucleotide long non-coding RNA is filed under the name Homo sapiens (human). Its description in RNAcentral is "downregulated RNA in cancer, inhibitor of cell invasion and migration". The record is from RNAcentral. Lineage: Eukaryota; Metazoa; Chordata; Mammalia; Primates; Hominidae.